RNAcentral lists this ribosomal RNA (290 nucleotides) under Pyrenodesmia chalybaea. RNAcentral describes it as "partial 18S ribosomal RNA". The record is from RNAcentral. Lineage: Eukaryota; Fungi; Ascomycota; Lecanoromycetes; Teloschistales; Teloschistaceae.
CUUGGUCAUUUAGAGGAAGUAAAAGUCGUAACAAGGUUUCCGUAGGUGCAUGCAACGUUUGCCUACCGGUGCCCCGCAGCGACUCUAAACAAGUGCGCAGUCGGCGACUCCAUCGCUGGCGACGCUACCAAUCUGCGCUGGGAGCGCCCGAACGCGGGCGUGACCAGCAGCUCCUCUGGAGUUCACAGGUCAAACGGUUGCGGCCACCCGGGGGGUGGUUCUGAUAUGAUCGGCCCCAGCCGUUGUACCACGGCUGGCGAAGUUUCGUGGAACCUGCGGAAGGAUCAUUA